CAAGAACAACAGGAUGAGGAAGACUGAUGGUGCAGAGACGACGUCUUCUCUGUUCGACGUACCUCAGGUCUGGUAGCGAUGGAACCCGAGAUCCUGGCUCCUUACCACCUGGGUUCCUACUUCCUACCCCUGGCCACUUGACUCCUACCCCUAGGACCGGGUUUGGAACGAGGCCUGAAGUUUCAACCAGUUGCACUUAUCUGACUGGCUGAGAGAAACGAAGCCAUAAAUCAUGAUAGGAGUCCUCAGCAUGUGGUAUAGCAGGAUAUUCUUUAGGAAAGAAAAAAACUGUCCCAAAUGGCACCCUAAUCCGUAUAUAGUACACUACUUUUAACUACGGCCAAUAGAGCUCUGGUUCAAACUAGUGCACUGUGGAUUAUUGUGUCCCAAAUAUUUUUUUCACUGCUUUUUUUGUUGUUGCUCGCACUGUUUUUCAUUUCUGAUUGAUUGAUAAAUCCCCUGUAUCGUGAUGGAUUAGGUAGUUACCACUCUGCAUGUUGUGGCGCUACUGACAGCUGUUCAGUACAGAAAGAGAACUCACACCCAGGCUCUACUCGCCUAACCCACCAGGCUCUGAAAUGGCAGCUUGAUCUCUGUUCCACUACUCUUAAGCAGGGUCAAUAGCGCUCUGGUCAAAACUAGUGCUCUAUAUAGGGGAAUGGGGCCAUUUGGUUCACAGCCUGAUCUCUGUUCCACUACUCUUAACCAGGGUCAAUAGCGCUCUGGUCAAAACUAGUGCUCUAUAUAGGGGAAUGGGGGCCAUUUGGUUCACAGCCAGGGUCUGUGUUCCAUGAGGAUCAACGUUAUAGAAUAUUCAUCUAGAAAUACACUAUCUAGAUUUGAUGCGCUUCUUUGUUCUGUAGAAGAGGGAAUCGUGUCAUGGUGUGGUGUGUAUUUUCUACGUUGUAUCAUCUCGAACACCAGGCCAGGCUCGUUGUUCCACGACCUCCUAGUUACUGUCACCGAGUCUGAAAUCUUUCCCCCUCACUGUCUGUUACCGGUGCCAAACCGGUUUAGUUUUAACUGUAAAAAAAAUGUUGCCUCCGUGACCCGUUCAUCGUGAACCAUCAUUAAGUGUCUCUUAAACCCCCAAUGCCACUUGACUGAUUCUAGUGUAACACUGUCCUGGUGCUGUAGUGGGAUUUUAAAUGUAGUUUAACUUCCUUUUUAAAAUAAAAAAAAAAUGUGUAUAAAGUUAAAGCCCCUCCCCUCUAAUUUUAUAGAUCCUGCUAGAACCUUCUCUAAUAGUGUGUCCUAAAUGGCUCCUGUGUAGUGCAGUGUACUAGAAAGGGAAUAGGGCCCUGUAGUGCAGUGUACUAGAAAGGGAAUAGGGCCCUGUGCAGUGUACUAGAAAGGGAAUAGGGCCCUGUGUAGUGCAGUGUACUAGGGAAUAGGGCCCUGUAUAGUGCAGUGUACUUGAAAGGGAAUAGAGAGCCAUUUUGUGAAACAACAAGAGGUGUGUUUUUUUUUUGGCGUGGUUGGUCUUUUCCCUACAACAGACAGUCUAGUGGCAUUAUUACUUGUAUGGACGACUUUUUUGUUGUUGUGGCGUUUAAAUGUCUUUUAUUUUUGGGGUCUUUACUUUCCCCUCGUUGUAAACGUCCUCCCUUGCAACUGUGUCAAAUAUUGUAUCAAUGCAAAACGUGUCAACGUUAAAGAAUACGCUGUUUUUGUAUGAAAAAUGUCGCAACAAAUAUUUCCUUAUGAACAGGAACAAUUAAAGAACGUUUCUUAGUAA
Long non-coding RNA from Oncorhynchus tshawytscha (Chinook salmon), 1738 nucleotides. The record is from Ensembl. Lineage: Eukaryota; Metazoa; Chordata; Actinopteri; Salmoniformes; Salmonidae.